GGGGCAAUAGCAAAGUUGGUCAAUGCGUUGGACUGAAAAUCCAAAGAUAAUGGUUCGAUUCCAUUUUGUCCCA
This 73-nucleotide transfer RNA is filed under the name Caudoviricetes sp. Its description in RNAcentral is "tRNA-Phe". It matches the Rfam family "tRNA". Rfam says of the family: Transfer RNA (tRNA) molecules are approximately 80 nucleotides in length. The record is from RNAcentral. Lineage: Duplodnaviria; Heunggongvirae; Uroviricota; Caudoviricetes.